Molecule: ribosomal RNA, 500 nt
Filed under: uncultured bacterium
Lineage: Bacteria
Description: partial 16S ribosomal RNA
Rfam family: Bacterial small subunit ribosomal RNA
Source: RNAcentral
AUUGAACGCUGGCGGCAGGCCUAACACAUGCAAGUCGAGCGGAUGAAGGGAGCUUGCUCCUGGAUUCAGCGGCGGACGGGUGAGUAAUGCCUAGGAAUCUGCCUGGUAGUGGGGGACAACGUUUCGAAAGGAACGCUAAUACCGCAUACGUCCUACGGGAGAAAGCAGGGGACCUUCGGGCCUUGCGCUAUCAGAUGAGCCUAGGUCGGAUUAGCUAGUUGGUGAGGUAAAGGCUCACCAAGGCGACGAUCCGUAACUGGUCUGAGAGGAUGAUCAGUCACACUGGAACUGAGACACGGUCCAGACUCCUACGGGAGGCAGCAGUGGGGAAUAUUGGACAAUGGGCGAAAGCCUGAUCCAGCCAUGCCGCGUGUGUGAAGAAGGUCUUCGGAUUGUAAAGCACUUUAAGUCGGGAGGAAGGGUUGUAGAUUAAUACUCUGCAAUUUUGACGUUACCGACAGAAUAAGCACCGGCUAACUCUGUGCCAGCAGCCGCAGUAA